GACGAACGCUGGCGGCGUGCCUAACACAUGCAAGUCGAACGGAACUUCUUUAAAGGAUUUCUUCGGAAUGAAUUUGAUUAAGUUUAGUGGCGGACGGGUGAGUAACGCGUGAGUAACCUGCCUCUGAGAGGGGAAUAACAUUCUGAAAAGAUGCUAAUACCGCAUAAUAUAUAUUUAUCGCAUGGUAGAUAUAUCAAAGAUUUAUCGCUUAGAGAUGGACUCGCGUCCGAUUAGUUAGUUGGUGAGGUAACGGCUCACCAAGACCGCGAUCGGUAGCCGGACUGAGAGGUUGAACGGCCACAUUGGGACUGAGACACGGCCCAGACUCCUACGGGAGGCAGCAGUGGGGGAUAUUGCGCAAUGGGGAACCCUGACGCAGCAACGCCGCGUGAACGGAUGAAGGUCUUCGGAUUGUAAACUUC
This 422-nucleotide ribosomal RNA is filed under the name uncultured bacterium. Its description in RNAcentral is "bacterial SSU rRNA". It matches the Rfam family "Bacterial small subunit ribosomal RNA", at positions 28 to 433 of the family's 1533-position model. The record is from RNAcentral.